ACGUAGGGUGCGAGCGUUAAUCGGAAUUACUGGGCGUAAAGCGUGCGCAGGCGGUUUUGCAAGACAGAGGUGAAAUCCCCGGGCUCAACCUGGGAACUGCCAGUGAGACUGCAAGGCUGGAGUGCGGCAGAGGGGGAUGGAAUUCCCCGUGUAGCGGUGAAAUGCGUAGAUAUUCGGAGGAACACCGAUGGCGAAGGCAAUCCACUGGGCCUGCACUGACGCUCAGGCACGAAAGCGUGGGGAGCAAACAG
This 251-nucleotide ribosomal RNA is filed under the name uncultured prokaryote. RNAcentral's name for it is "partial 16S rRNA". It matches the Rfam family "Bacterial small subunit ribosomal RNA", at positions 525 to 775 of the family's 1533-position model. The record is from RNAcentral.